Acanthosepion pharaonis is the source of this 111-nucleotide non-coding RNA. NCBI's taxonomy places the organism in Eukaryota, Metazoa, Mollusca, Cephalopoda, Sepiida, Sepiidae. The record is from the annotation of a GenBank genome assembly.
GAUUAUGGCUACAUUGAAACACCAGUUACCGUACGAUCACUGAAGUUAAGCAACGUCGCGCCAGGUCUGUAUCUAGAUGGGUGACCGCUUUUGAAUAUCAGGUGCAGUAAG